This 29-nucleotide ribosomal RNA is filed under the name Melampodium argophyllum. The record is from RNAcentral. Lineage: Eukaryota; Viridiplantae; Streptophyta; Magnoliopsida; Asterales; Asteraceae.
GGUUGCGAUCAUACCAGCACUACACACCG